Molecule: long non-coding RNA, 1670 nt
Organism: Gopherus flavomarginatus (Mexican gopher tortoise)
Lineage: Eukaryota; Metazoa; Chordata; Testudines; Testudinidae
Exons: 6
Source: RefSeq, a predicted model, not a curated record
UUAAACAGCUGACCCCAACCGAGGCUCUUGCAGUUCGUAUCCAGCAGGGAGCAGCAGGGCUGUAGGAUCCUAUAGCAAACAGGGUGGGAGGUGAACUCUGCAGAUGAACCUCUGAACUCUGAGGCUGCACUGGCCAAGGACAGCAACGAUGACAAAGGAACCAUCCUUUUGACUUUGGGAGGGAUCCCAACAUGAAAAUUUGGUUAGCAGUGUUGCUGGGAACAUGUGAUUUUAUGGGACAACACAUCCAGAUCAAGUCCCUGGACCAAAAUGGGUUACAUGACCCUGUAUUGAUGCUUCUUCUGGAGAAGGAAUUCUUCUCUUAUGUGCUUACAGGCAAAUUCUCUCCAAAAAGCUGAACAGCAGGCGUGUAUCUUUUUCCAUUGUCUGAUAUACCAUCACCAAGAUAGGUAUUUGUGUCUUGUUAAGAAAAUUCUACCCCACAACCAGAGCUGGGAGAAUAGAGAGAGAAGAUUAUUCUUGAGUAUCUGCUUCUAAAUAGACACUUUGUCUGUGCACAUUUAAUUGCCAAAAGCAAAUUAAAAGUGCCGUAAAGUUUUGUUUUUGCAAACAUUUGCAGAAAGUAAAUUUCAAGACUGCUGCUAAAUAAAAUGUCUUUUGGGUAGAAGCAGAAUUAAUUUAUAAAGGUUUAUUCCAUGUGACUUAGGUACCCAAUCAUACUAUUUGACUGUUGAAUUGUGCAUACUGAAUAUUUUAAAGAAUAUUUGCAGUGAACAGCUGGCAAACAAAUCCAUAGACUAAAACUUCUUUGGAAAAAGAAUACAGUGAGUAAAUUGGAAUAGCAAAUAAAUUAAUAAAAAUCUUAGUAUGUUUGCAGACAAUUCACAAACAGGAAGAAGGCUAUAAUGACUGAACAGUUCACCCAAUUCUGCUGUCAAACAAGUGCCUUCUCCUGUUAUAAUGAGAGCAUAAAGCGGAGGCUUUGAUAUCACUGUUUUGUCAUGGUAAUUGUGAUGCCAUGAAUUCUGCAUGAUGACUUCACCGUUGGAGGAAAUUAUGGAUUGUGGGAGAAAGGCUUAAUUUAAAUGUCAGUAUAGAUAAUAGGCCAAAGGUCAAGAAAAAUUAUGCAUAACACAUGACAUGUAAAUGCAUUGCAUUAUUUAAGUGUGAUCUAUCUGAAAAUUUUCCCACAUAAAAAUCCCUCUUCAGUAUCCCUAUGCAACAUAUUUCAUGAUUAGUGUGCUUAGCGCUAUCAAGAGAAUUAAAACCUUACAGAAAUGGAGAUUGAAUGGCAUGAAGUACUGCACCUCCCCUCCCCACACAGACCAUAAUGUGCAGUGAUGUUUUUGACAAUCUUAGCAGAAAGGCUAGGACUAAUUGAAUAUACAAACUCCUCUCUCACACCAGAAACAAGGUACAUUGGAAGGUUGGUAUGGGGAAAAAUUUCCCUGUUCACAGUGUACAGGUCUGAUUCCUGUUCUGCGGAAAAACAGAAGACUUCACUACUCAGAAUUAUUAAUGUUCAUAAACACUAUGGGUGAAAUCCUGUCUCCACUGAAGUCAGUGGCAAAACUCCCCUCAAUGCAGUCAGGAUUUCACUCUAAGUGCCCGAUCUAACCCUCAUUAAAAUAAUUGAUUCUUUAUAAAGUAUUGUUUAUUAAUCACUUAGUCACUUUAUAAAAUUACAUAAAAUAUUUUUGAAUCAGUCA